CCUACGGGGGGCAGCAGUGGGGAAUAUUGGGCAAUGGGCGCAAGCCUGACCCAGCAACGCCGCGUGAAGGAAGAAGGCUUUCGGGUUGUAAACUUCUUUUGUCAGGGAAGAGUAGAAGACGGUACCUGACGAAUAAGCCACGGCUAACUACGUGCCAGCAGCCGCGGUAAUACGUAGGUGGCAAGCGUUGUCCGGAUUUACUGGGUGUAAAGGGCGUGUAGCCGGGUUGACAAGUCAGAUGUGAAAUCCUGCGGCUUAACCGCAGAACUGCAUUUGAAACUGUUGCUCUUGAGUACUGGAGAGGCAACUGGACUUCCUAGUGUAGCGGUGCAAUGCGUAGAUAUUAGGCGGACCCCAAGUGGCGAAGGCGGUCUGCUGGACAGCAACUGACGGUGAGGCGCGAAAGCGUGGGGAGCAAACAGGAUUAGAUACCCUUGUAGUC
RNAcentral lists this ribosomal RNA (442 nucleotides) under uncultured bacterium. RNAcentral's name for it is "partial 16S ribosomal RNA". It matches the Rfam family "Bacterial small subunit ribosomal RNA", at positions 338 to 795 of the family's 1533-position model. The record is from RNAcentral.